RNAcentral lists this long non-coding RNA (1328 nucleotides) under Ficedula albicollis (Collared flycatcher). RNAcentral's name for it is "lncRNA (ENSFALG00000023832.1)". Lineage: Eukaryota; Metazoa; Chordata; Aves; Passeriformes; Muscicapidae. The record is from RNAcentral.
AUGGGCUGUCAGCUCCCAGCCAUCCAUGCUGUGGGCGCAGUGCCGUGCCUGCCAGCCCGGGGAGGUGCUGCUGGUGGCCCGUGCUGCUGGGUGCCUCACCCUGGUGACACCGGUGGUGUGUUUCUGCUACGAGCUGUGUCUGUCAUCAGCCCGAGCGUGGUCCUGGGGGGCUGGAGGUGCCUUUGGAACCUCAGGGAAGGGCGUGCUCUGAGGGCUGGGGGAUGCUCGGUGCGUUUGGACCGGGCGUGUGUGGGGAUGGGACGUGGCUUUGGCAAAGGCAGGGGGGAUCCUUGGGUGUGUUGGGCAAAGGACUUCUCAAGGAGCUGAUGCCACUGUGAAAGGCCCUGGUGAGGCGUUGCUGAAGGUACUGAAUGCCCUUUUGGGGGCAAAGGCUUAUUCUAGUAGGAGGUGGGACACAAUCCUGGGAGGUGGAUUGAUCCCUCCUGACGGGCAGAGCCCAUUUCUUCUGACAAGGCAGGGCCUGAAAGGGAAUCAGUCCCUGCCACACUCCUGCAGGAAGAUGGAUGCACAGUUAUUGCCACGGUGGGGGGCACAGGGGACACUCCAUGGGUUGCUGUGAGCUGGAGCUGAGGGACAGAAAGGACACUGACCUGCUGGGGCGAGUCCAGAGGAGGGCACCCAGGUGAUCAGAGGGAUGGAACACCUCUGCUAUGAGGAAAGGCCAAGAGAACUGGGAUUGCUCAUCCUGGAGAAGACAAGGCUUUGGAGUGACCUAAUUGUGGCCUUGCAGGACCUGAAGGGAGCCCACAAGAAAGACGGGCAAGACUAUUUGCAAGAGCUGGAGUGAGGGGACAAGGGACAAUGGGUUCGAGUUGAAAGUAGGUUUAGAUUAAAUAUCAGGAGAACCUUUUUUUGCUUUGGAGUGACCUAAUUGUGGCCUUGCAGGACCUGAAGGGAGCCCACAAGAAAGACGGGCAAGACUAUUUGCAAGAGCUGGAGUGAGGGGACAAGGGAGAAUGGGUUCGAGUUGAAAGUAGGUUUAGAUUAGAUAUCAGGAGAAUCUUUUUUUCACUAUGAGGGUGUUGAUGCCCUGGCACAGGAUGCCCAGAGAAGCUGUGGCUGCCCCUGGAUCCCUGGAAGGGUCCAAGGCCGGGCUGGAUGGGGCUCGGAGCAUCCUGGUCUAGAGGAAGGUGUCCUUGCCGAUGCCCUGGCACAGGAUGCCCAGAGAAGCUGUGGCUGCCCCUGGAUCCCUGGAAGGGUCCAAGGCCGGGCUGGAUGGGGCUCGGAGCAUCCUGGUCUAGAGAAAGGUGUCCUCGCCCACGGCAGGGGGCUGGAACGAGACUACUACAUUCGAGAUCCCUUCCAAG